RNAcentral lists this ribosomal RNA (758 nucleotides) under uncultured bacterium. Its description in RNAcentral is "bacterial SSU rRNA". It matches the Rfam family "Bacterial small subunit ribosomal RNA", at positions 8 to 796 of the family's 1533-position model. The record is from RNAcentral.
AGAGUUUGAUCCUGGCUCAGAAUCAACGCUGGCGGCGCGCCUAACACAUGCAAGUCGAACGAGAAAGCAGGAGCAAUCUUGUGAGUAAAGUGGCGUACGGGUGAGUAACACGUGGAUUAUCUACCCUCUUGUGGGGGAUAACCCUGGGAAACCGGGGCUAAUACCGCAUAAGCUCGAGAGAGGAAAGCAGCAAUGCGCAGGAGGAGGAGUCCGCGGCCGAUUAGCUAGUUGGUAGGGUAAAAGCCUACCAAGGCUACGAUCGGUAGCCGGCCUGAGAGGGCACACGGCCACACUGGCACUGAAACACGGGCCAGACUCCUACGGGAGGCAGCAGUGGGGAAUCUUGCACAAUGGGGGAAACCCUGAUGCAGCGACGCCGCGUGAGCGAUGAAGCCCUUCGGGGUGUAAAGCUCUUUCGGCAGGGAAGAUUAUGACGGUACCUGCAGAAGCAGCUGCGGCUAACUACGUGCCAGCAGCCGCGGUAAUACGUAGGCAGCAAGCGUUGUUCGGAGUUACUGGGCGUAAAGGGUGUGUAGGCGGUUCUCUAAGUUUGGUGUGAAAUCUCCCGGCUCAACUGGGAGGGUGCGCCGAAUACUGAAGGACUAGAGUGCGGGAGAGGAGAGUGGAAUUCCUGGUGUAGCGGUGAAAUGCGUAGAUAUCAGGAGGAACACCGGUGGUGUAGACGGCUCUCUGGACCGUAACUGACGCUGAAACACGAAAGCGUGGGUAGCAAACAGGAUUAGAUACCCUAGUAGUCC